GAUGAACGCUGGCGGCGUGCUUAACACAUGCAAGUCGAACGAAGCAUUUGCGACAGAUUUUUUCGGAAUGAAGUUGCUUAUGACUGAGUGCCGGACGGUUAGGUACCCCGUGGGAACCCUGCCUGUUCCGGGGGGAUGGCAGCUGGAAAGGGCUGGUAAUCCCGCAUAGGGCCACAAUGUGGCAUGAAUUGGUUGGAAAAACGCCGGUGGUAUAAGAUGGACCCGCGUCUGAUUAGCUAGUUGGUGAGAUAACAGCCCACCAAGGCGACGAUCAGUAGCCGACCUGAGAGGGUGACCGGCCACAUUGGGACUGAGACACGGCCCAGACUCCUACGGGAGGCAGCAGUGGGGAAUAUUGCACAAUGGAGGAAACUCUGAUGCAGCGACGCCGCGUGAGUGAAGAAGUAAUUCGUUAUGUAAAGCUCUAUCAGCAGGGAAGAUAGUGACGGUACCUGACGAAGAAGCUCCGGCUAAAUACGUG
This 481-nucleotide ribosomal RNA is filed under the name uncultured bacterium. RNAcentral's name for it is "partial 16S ribosomal RNA". It matches the Rfam family "Bacterial small subunit ribosomal RNA", at positions 28 to 507 of the family's 1533-position model. The record is from RNAcentral.